RNAcentral lists this ribosomal RNA (498 nucleotides) under uncultured bacterium. RNAcentral describes it as "partial 16S ribosomal RNA". It matches the Rfam family "Bacterial small subunit ribosomal RNA", at positions 28 to 507 of the family's 1533-position model. The record is from RNAcentral.
GACGAACGCUGGCGGCAUGCCUAACACAUGCAAGUCGAACGGAGAUUAUUUCGGUAAUCUUAGUGGCGAACGGGUGAGUAACGCGUGGGCAACCUGCCCUCUAGAUGGGGACAACAUCCCGAAAGGGGUGCUAAUACCGAAUGUGACAGCAAUCCCGCAUGAGGAUGCUGUGAAAGAUGGCCUCUAUUUAUAAGCUAUCGCUAGAGGAUGGGCCUGCGUCUGAUUAGCUAGUUGGUGGGGUAACGGCCUACCAAGGCGAAGAUCAGUAGCCGGUCUGAGAGGAUGAACGGCCACAUUGGGACUGAGACACGGCCCAGACUCCUACGGGAGGCAGCAGUGGGGAAUCUUCCGCAAUGGGCGAAAGCCUGACGGAGCAAUGCCGCGUGAGUGAUGAAGGAAUUCGUUCCGUAAAGCUCUUUUGUUUAUGACGAAUGUGCAGAUUGUGAACAAUGAUCUGUAAUGACGGUAGUAAACGAAUAAGCCACGGCUAACUACGUG